AAGCGGCGCCGCCGCGCGCUCCUUUCAGCGUGAUGGCGGCGGCACUGGCGCCGCCCGGGCCGGGACUCGCCCUCGAGCCGGGGCUGGAGUCCGUCUUGCGGGAGGCCGUGGCGGCUCUGGGCCGGGCUGGGGAGGGGAUGGUGGCGGCGCUGGGCGCGGUACGCGCCGCUGUGGCGGCAGCGGGCGGCCCAGCCGCCCUCGGGGAGCGGGAGCGGGCGCUGUUCGGCGCCUUCCUGCGCAGACUGGUCCGGGCGCCUGGCGCGGCGCGGCCCGAGGGCCUGUGGCAGCGCUGCUUCCUGGAGGGCCCGCCCGGCCUUGUGUUCUGCGUCUUGCUGGAGGCCCUUGGCUCUGCGGGCUCUGGCCUUGACCCGAAGGAGGUAGUUGGGGUCCUGGAGCAGUUCCUGCAGCAGGGCCAGGUGUCAGCAUUACUGUGGGAGGUCUGUCAGCCGCAGGCACAGGCAGGCUGCCUGGAACUGCAGGGUGCCCUGCUCAACAAGAUCGUCUGUUUGCCCGAGCAUGUGAGCAAUAAACUCCAGGGGAAAAACCCGCCAGUGUUCUUCCCACAGAACUACUUCCCUCUCCUGGGUGAUGCAGUCCUCCAGGUGCUAGAGAAGAUCUCUGACUCUCUGCGGGGUGGCUUGGACUGCUCCAUCUCUUUUGUUUCUCAUGUCCUGGGGAAGGUGUGUGUUCAUGGACGGCAAAAGGAAAUUCUGGGAGUUUUGGUUCCCCGCCUGACAGACCUCACCAAGUCAGACUGCAUUUGGCAGAGGAUAUGCUGGCAGUUGGUGGAAUGUGUGCCGGACCGCUGGAUGGAAGCAGUGGUCCUUGGUUUUGUGCAGAGAGCACCUGGGGCAGAUGUCUUGUCCAGAUUGCUGGGUAACCUGGUUGUGAAGAACAAGAAGGCUCAGUUUGUGGUCACACAGAAGAUGCUGCUCUUGCAAUAUGGCCACACGACAGCAGUGCUGCAGAACCUCUUUGGCUACCUGUCCCUGGACAGUGUCCGGCGCACCUUGUUGCUCAGAGUGCUGCAGGAGCUGUUGGAGACCUGGAGCAGCAGCAGUGCUGUGAAACACUCCCCAGCUGAGCAGCAGCUGUACAUUAGCAAGGCCAUUCUCAUCUGCCUCUCCCACCUGAAGGAGCCUGAAAUUGCAAGCUGCAGACAAGAGCUUCUGACAAGCAUGAUGGAGGGUGUGAAAUGCCACUUGGAGAGCAGUCUGCCACAACUACGGCGUCUGGGCAUGGUGGUGGCAGAGAGCAUCAGCUUGAACAUAAACACUGAGGGGCCUGUCCUGAAGUUUGAGUAUGAAGAGGAUGAUGAAACAAGAGAAUUGAAGUCCCUUCUGGUGCAGACUCCAUCAUUCUGUGCUGUCCCCAGCCUUCCAGAUGAUGACAGGAGUGAGAAAGCAGGUGCUGCACUGCCACUGGUACCAGAGAGUAAUGAGAAAUCCUCUACUGCAGCCCCUGGGAUGCCAGAUGAAGAGUCAGAUGCUGAACUUGACAGUGACGAUGACCUCAUCCCUUAUGACAUGUCUGAGGAUAAAGAGCUAAAAAUUAAGGCUCCUAUGUAUAUCCGAGACUGUAUUGAAGUUCUGACUGGAUCAAGAUCUGAAGAUGUGGACAAAUGGGAAGCUACAAUCAAGGCACUUGAGAGCCUGGUUCGGAGGAAUCCAGCAGCAACAAGAGAGGUUAGUGUGGAGCUGGCAAAAAUAUUAUUGCAUCUGGAGGAGAAGACCUGCAUUGAAGGCUUUGAGGCACUCCGUCAAAGAGCUCAAGUAGCUGUUUUAACCACAGACCCAAUACCUGUUGCAGAGUACUUGACCUCUCAGUUCUACUCUCUGAACUACAGUCUCCGUCAGCGCAUGGACAUCCUUGAUGUAUUGGUUUUGGCAGCUCAGGAACUGUCCUGUCCCAAGUUCCAUGGGAAGACCACACAUUCUGAUGUCCAAAAGCCUUGUAUCCAGCUCCUUCCAGGAAGUGACAGCUCUAAGGGCUGGAGAAAAAUCGUUGAUGAGAGGAUCAAAAGCAAGACUCGGAGAUUUAAUACGGGUCAGUGUCGUCUGGAACUGACUUCCUGCCCAAACGAGUUCAAUUCUGUUGCUGGGUAUUUCUUUUUCCCGUUGAUUCAGCAUUUUGACAGGCCUUUAACAACAUUUGAUCUUCUGGGAGAAGAUCACUUAGUCCUUGGAAGACUGGUUCACACUUUAGCAGUUCUGAUGUACUUGGCUGUCAACACCGUGGCAGCGACAGCAAUGGGAAAGGCACUGCUGGAAUUUGUUUGGGCACUGCGUUUCCACACGGACUCGUACGUGCGCCAGGGCCUUUUGUCCUGUAUCUCCUCCCUGCUCCUCAGUGUCCCUACAGAACGAAUGCUGGCAGACAUGACAGAAGAGCUAUUGGAGACUCAGUCCUGGCUGGGAGGGAGCAAGCAGGAAGCAACACUGACCCAGCUGGCCUCUGAUCCUGGCAGGUUGGGGUGCUCUGUGCCCUUUGAACGGAAGAGAGCUGCCAUGUGGGGCUGAAGACUUCACUUUUCCCAUGACACUGUGUACUCUCAGGAAUCUGCUUGUCUCUGCAUUUAACACUGCUGUUACCAAGCAAAGCCUUUCAAGAAUGUGUUUCCAGCAUGAGGGUUUGCAUAGUCUGUUUUCAGUGAGUUAUUUUGGGGAGGAGGAGGAUGACCAAGAUAGUAGCAAUUUUUCAUGCUGGUAGGUAGUGUAAUAGCCCUGUCUUUUCAUCUAGUGCUUUUGCAUGAAAGCUGCAUGAUUAUUUCUGGUGGGAAUGAGAGCAGGGUAAGAUAACUGUUGUGGGUAUACCAGAGAAAGGAAAACUGCUGUAGGAGUCGUUCAGAAGCCUUAAAGAAUUCAGCUUCACAUAUGGUCAGGUGCAAUUUAAGUGAAAUUUAAAGGGCUUCUAGAGCUGCUUCCUGAAACACACCAGCUUCUUGAGCUGUGCCUUUGCUAUUUAUUGUAAGGCUGUUGGGGAAACAGUUGCACAGGGAGGUAUUGGGCCCUCCCGGCUGCUCCAGCAGAUCAAGUCUGGCACUAGAGACCUGCUUCUGUGACUGAAUCACAGGUCUGUGCUCAUGGACUUGGCUGUUGCUUCAAGGCUCUUCUAGACAAGAUUUGCAAGAGGAGUUGUGUAUUAGCUGUGUUGUAGCUGGGAAUGGCCAAGUGUCCUGCAUGGGAGCCUUGACUACUAUGCCUUUUAGCCACUUUGGGUUUUAGCUUAAAGCAUCUGUGUUUCUCCUGCCAUGGCCAAAGCACAGUGAUGAACAGUGGGAUAGGAAAUGUUAUACAUGAAGUGCUUAGUAGAAAUCCACAGACUUCUUUCAGUUUGUUGUUACAUCUGGACCUCUGCAAACUGCUGUAGUCCUAUGACUGACUGUUGGCCCUUCAACCUGUUGGCUGCAGCCUGGCACUGUCUGCUUACUGGAUGCAUUGGGACAUACCGGCUACAGAGAGAGACGAGAAUCCACUUUGGACUUGUCCAUCAUUACCCUUAGUUACCCCGCUGGACUUGCUGCUGAGCAGCCUGAUCCUUCCUGGGGGAGGGAGGGAGUAUCUAAAUGCUUCUAGGAAAUGCCCUAGGAAAGAGCAUUCCCUGAGGAACCUUUUGAUUCCUCAGCAGCUGCCUUUGAGGGAAAUCCCCACCCCUUGCAAGUGCUCUGCAGCUAUGUCAUGGGUAAGUGAGGUUUAUGUCAGGACCAACAGGACACUCUGGUGCCUUGUGCCUCCCAUGCAGUGCCAGCAGUGCCAGGUCCAUGCUCAUGGAACAGAAACAGCACCAACAGCACUCAGCUUUUGAGCUUGUUUCACUCUGCCUUGUAACCUUCCUUUUUGUCUUCUGCAGAGGGAGUAUGAAAGCACCAGGUUGCAGCUCUCUCUGGAUUAUAAAUAGCUGUGCUCCAGUGACAUGAGUCAUGUGUUUGGGCUGACAGUGCUGGGCUCCCAGCACACUACUCGUGCGUACAGGAUAUCCUCACACAGGCUCCCUGCUCUUCCAGGCUCCCCUGCUUAGACAUCCUGCAUGCAUCCUGGUUGUUACUUUGCAGGCUCAUUAAGGGCCCCUGGAAUAACAGCUGCUGGGAACAGCCUCACAUUGCCCUUAUGUGCUGUGGGGAAUGUGGAACCCGUUGAUCAGAAGAUUGGUUUCUCAGAGUGGAGAAUGUGCUGAAGCUUGGGGCCUGUCACUUUCUUUCCCUGUUGGCAUCAUGACCCCAAAUUCAGGAAGGAGCACUGACUAUUUUAGAUUGCAAGAAUGGCAGAGUGGAGACUUUAGACUGUGAAGAAAGUGGAUUUCUAGCUACAAACUUCACUCAUGCUUGUAGCUCAGCUGUACAAAGCUUUUGUGUAGCUCAGGGUGACAAGUACAAAUUCUGGCAUGGAGAUAAUCCCAUAGGAUCCAAGGUCAGACAGUUUCUACAGUGUUUCAGACCAACUGACUGUUUCUCAAAAAAAACUGGAGCACUACCCCAUGUGACAGUCAGGGCUUGGCUGAACUUAUGCUGCUUUACAUGAUCAAGUUUGUGCAUCUCUGCCUUCUGGCCUAAUGCAGUUCCUGCAAGUCCUGAUGUCCAGCCCAGCCGUAGGUGCAAAUGCUGUUGUUUAGUUCUGUGAUUGUCAGUAAAAUAGUGAAAAGUGUUAAGGGCACUUUUUCCCAUUCUCCAAUUAAUAAUGGCUGCUUCUUUUGCAGUUGUGAUGGAGAAAGACCCUGAUGAGGACUGCAGAAGGCUGGCCCUGCAAAACUUGCUGCUAAUGGAGAACCUGAAAAAGAAACUUGAAGCUGUUCCUUCCUAGCUGAAGGGUAACAGAAAUGACCUUUACCUUGUGCUCUUGCCAGCUGGAUGUAUUUGAGCACUGCUGGGGCCUCUUCAGCAGUCACCUGGCUGGAGGAGAGGAAGAAGGGGGAAGGGUGCUGAGCUGUAAGCCAGCGAGCUUGACUUGACAUCUGGACUUUGUAGUGGAGGCCAAUUGAGUGAGCUCUGGGUAUCCGGUACAGCGUGUACAGAUGCAGGAAGGGAAUUUCUGAUCUGUUUAAGAAAAUACAUUUCCAAACCACCAAGGCUUUAUUGAUCCACCUUUGGUAGAUGUCAGCAGAAACCAGGAGUAGCUUCAUCAUGGACUGUUCAAGAGCAGGCAGUGUCUUAUGGGA
Passer montanus (Eurasian tree sparrow) is the source of this 5151-nucleotide RNA transcript. It is a transcript of the gene named telomere maintenance 2, with no coding region annotated. The transcript is spliced from 21 exons. The record is from RefSeq and is a predicted model, not a curated record. NCBI's taxonomy places the organism in Eukaryota, Metazoa, Chordata, Aves, Passeriformes, Passeridae.